RNAcentral lists this long non-coding RNA (886 nucleotides) under Gallus gallus (chicken). The record is from RNAcentral. Lineage: Eukaryota; Metazoa; Chordata; Aves; Galliformes; Phasianidae.
AUUUUAUUACCAAUUCCUUUCCCUACGCCUUCCAAAGGCUCCAGCAGGGCCCGCUUCGCCUUGCCACCUCCGCCUCCCGCCGGCGGGCCCUAUGCGGAGCGAGCAGGCGGCCCGGGGGCACCUGCACCGCACGCGGCCCCACCGCAGGCCCGCGGCCCGCUGGGGCAGGAGGAGGCCGCGCUGAGCGCAGCGCAGGGCCCGCUACGAGAUAAGGCCGCACGGGGCCGAGCGCCGAGGAGGGGACCCGACCCCCGGAGGUGGAGGGAAGGCUGAGGCGCGGGGAAAGGCCCCAGCGCGCCGUUACCUGUGGCGCCGAGCAUGAAGUCCAGGGUGCUGUGCCGCGCUGCUGCCAUAGUGAGGAAUCUGCAGAAACGAGAUCUAAUGGGAACAAUACGACGGUAUCGGUGAUUUCAUGGCAUUCUGCAGCUUAAGGAAUAAAAAGUUUUACAAGAAAUAAAAAAAAAAGUUUACAAGUAAUCGCUAUUACAUAAGCUAAUGUAUCACAAUCACUAUUUCUGUGCCACAGCCUGAAAUUCACCUCAGGAACUAAAGUUGAAAACAACAUAUUCCUCACAGACCGCAAAGAAAUAUCUUAUAGGAAGACCUUUAUCCUUGUGUUAUUUUAGAUAGUUCACAGAAGAUUUGUUAGCACUCUUAGGACUACCUGUAUAUCUCACAGCUUUGUCACCUGUCAAUAAAGUGGUCAUCUUGUAAUGCUAAAUGAAGCCUUGAAGUCAAACAUGCUUGUUUAACGUGUACAUACACACAGAAUCUUUCACGUCUGAUUCUUUAUAUUCAAAAUAUUGUUAAUUUAUGCUAAACAGGGGCAUUUGUACAGUACAAGCACAAUGUACAUUUGUACAAACAGCACAAUGUGGUAACAGCC